Molecule: long non-coding RNA, 208 nt
Organism: Glycine soja
Lineage: Eukaryota; Viridiplantae; Streptophyta; Magnoliopsida; Fabales; Fabaceae
Exons: 3
Source: RefSeq, a predicted model, not a curated record
CUGCAGAAUACCUGAAAUAGCUUUUGCAACAUUUGAGAACAUGGAAUAUGGAGAAGAUUACAUGAAGCCUGAUACAGAGACAUACAAUUAGGUUAUUCAAGCUUAUACUAGAGCUGAAUCUUAUGACAGAGUACAAGAUGUUGCUGAGUUACUUGGCAUGAUGGUUGAGGAUCACAAACGUAUACAGCCAAAUGCGAAGACCCAUGCG